This 500-nucleotide ribosomal RNA is filed under the name uncultured bacterium. RNAcentral's name for it is "partial 16S ribosomal RNA". It matches the Rfam family "Bacterial small subunit ribosomal RNA", at positions 29 to 523 of the family's 1533-position model. The record is from RNAcentral.
AUUGAACACUGGCGGCAUGCCUUACACAUGCAAGUCGAACGGCAGCACGGGAGCAAUCCUGGUGGCGAGUGGCGAACGGGUGAGUAAAGCAUCGGAACGUACCCAGUAGUGGGGGAUAACGUAGCGAAAGUUACGCUAAUACCGCAUACGACCUGAGGGUGAAAGCAGGGGAUCGCAAGACCUUGCGCUAUUGGAGCGGCCGAUGUCGGAUUAGCUAGUUGGUAGGGUAAAAGCCUACCAAGGCGACGAUCCGUAGCUGGUCUGAGAGGACGACCAGCCACACUGGGACUGAAACACGGCCCAGACUCCUACGGGAGGCAGCAGUGGGGAAUUUUGGACAAUGGGCGAAAGCCUGAUCCAGCCAUGCCGCGUGAGUGAAGAAGGCCUUCGGGUUGUAAAGCUCUUUCAGACGGAAAGAAAUCUUCUGGGCUAAUACCCCGGGAGGAUGACGGUACCGUAAGAAGAAGCACCGGCUAACUACGUGCCAGCCGCCGCAGUAA